UCACCCAUCAAGCCUGGCUUGUUGGACUCUGCGGCCGAAACAUGUGGCAGGUCUGAAAAAUAAUGACGGUGUCGUGUUUGACCCUAGAUGCAACGAGCUUUUCAUAGCACGCAUUGAAGUGGUCGGCCGGCCUGGUUUUAACCAUCAAUUUCUAA
RNAcentral lists this unclassified non-coding RNA (155 nucleotides) under uncultured Eurotiomycetes. RNAcentral describes it as "sequence contains ITS2". The record is from RNAcentral. Lineage: Eukaryota; Fungi; Ascomycota; Eurotiomycetes.